AGAUUGUCAGGUUGAUGUGGCUCACCUGGCUAGGCAGGUGUCCCCUUCUUCACUCACCACUCUGUGUGUGUCUCCUGAAGCUGCACACUUGGUCACUAGGGCUGAAUAUGAUGACCUUCCCUGAUAGAGGGGGGCUGUUCUUUGGUCAAGGGCAUAUGAGUAGCUAUGCUUCCCUACUAGAGCUUCCAAACAAGCUCUCAAGGUCCAUUUCAGUGGAUGAUGGUGUUUGGAAAGCAGUAUCUGAACUAUGGGUUCAUUCAGUACUAGUUAAAUAUUUGCUUCUAAUU
This is an unclassified non-coding RNA of Nannospalax galili (Upper Galilee mountains blind mole rat), 287 nucleotides long. Its record names the gene 7SK. It matches the Rfam family "7SK RNA". From Rfam's summary of the family: 7SK was discovered as an abundant small nuclear RNA in the mid-70s but a possible function has only recently been suggested. The record is from Ensembl. Lineage: Eukaryota; Metazoa; Chordata; Mammalia; Rodentia; Spalacidae.